This 468-nucleotide ribosomal RNA is filed under the name uncultured bacterium. RNAcentral describes it as "partial 16S ribosomal RNA". It matches the Rfam family "Bacterial small subunit ribosomal RNA", at positions 28 to 507 of the family's 1533-position model. The record is from RNAcentral.
GACGAACGCUGGCGGCGUGCUUAACACAUGCAAGUCGAACGGAAAGGCCCUGCUUUUGUGGGGUGCUCGAGUGGCGAACGGGUGAGUAACACGUGAGUAACCUGCCCUUGACUUUGGGAUAACUUCAGGAAACUGGGGCUAAUACCGGAUAGGAGCUCCUGCUGCAUGGUGGGGGUUGGAAAGUUUCGGCGGUUGGGGAUGGACUCGCGGCUUAUCAGCUUGUUGGUGGGGUAGUGGCUUACCAAGGCUUUGACGGGUAGCCGGCCUGAGAGGGUGACCGGCCACAUUGGGACUGAGAUACGGCCCGGACUGCUACGGGAGGCAGCAGUGGGGAAUAGUGCACAAUGGGCGGAAGCCUGAUGCAGCAACGCCGCGUGCGGGAUGACGGCCUUCGGGUUGUAAACCGCUUGCGCCUGUGACGAAGCGUGAGUGACGGUAAUGGGUAAAGAAGCACCGGCUAACUACGUG